This 507-nucleotide ribosomal RNA is filed under the name uncultured Pseudomonadota bacterium. RNAcentral describes it as "bacterial SSU rRNA". It matches the Rfam family "Bacterial small subunit ribosomal RNA", at positions 355 to 878 of the family's 1533-position model. The record is from RNAcentral. Lineage: Bacteria; Pseudomonadati; Pseudomonadota.
UGGGGAAUAUUGGACAAUGGGCGCAAGCCUGAUCCAGCCAUGCCGCGUGAGUGAUGAAGGCCUUAGGGUUGUAAGGCUCUUUCACCGGAGAAGAUAAUGACGGUAUCCGGAGAAGAAGCCCCGGCUAACUUCGUGCCAGCAGCCGCGGUAAUACGAAGGGGGCUAGCGUUGUUCGGAAUUACUGGGCGUAAAGCGCACGUAGGCGGGUAUUUAAGUCAGGGGUGAAAUCCCAGAGCUCAACUCUGGAACUGCCUUUGAUACUGGGUACCUAGAGUAUGGAAGAGGUGAGUGGAAUUCCGAGUGUAGAGGUGAAAUUCGUAGAUAUUCGGAGGAACACCAGUGGCGAAGGCGGCUCACUGGUCCAUUACUGACGCUGAGGUGCGAAAGCGUGGGGAGCGAUCCGGAUUAGAUACCCGGGUAGUCCACGCUGUAAACGAUGAGUACUAGGUGUCGGGGGUAUCGACCCCCUCGGUGCCGAAGCUAACGCGAUAAGUACUCCGCCUGGGG